RNAcentral lists this ribosomal RNA (776 nucleotides) under uncultured Neocallimastigales. RNAcentral describes it as "partial large subunit ribosomal RNA". The stretch from base 5 to 666 matches the Rfam family "Eukaryotic large subunit ribosomal RNA", at positions 24 to 664 of the family's 3401-position model. Lineage: Eukaryota; Fungi; Neocallimastigomycota; Neocallimastigomycetes; Neocallimastigales. The record is from RNAcentral.
UAGUCUCGCACAGAUGCAUAUCAAUAAGCGGAGGAAAAGAAACUAACAAGGAUUCCCUCAGUAACGGCGAGUGAAGCGGGAAGAGCUCAAAUUUGAAAUCUUGCAAGGUUUACCUUUCACGAAUUGUAGUUUAAAGAAGUGUUUUCUGUUACGAUUUGGUAAUAAGUUCUUUGGAAUAGGACAUCAUAGAGGGUGAGAAUCCCGUAUGAUUGACCGAUUAUUGUCAGCUGUGUGAUACACUUUCAAAGAGUCGGAUUGUUUGGGAAUGCAGUCCAAAAUGGGAUGGUAAAUUUCAUCUAAGGCUAAAUAUUGGCGAGAGACCGAUAGCGAACAAGUACCGUGAGGGAAAGAUGAAAGGAACUUUGAAAAGAGAGUUAAACUAGUACGUGAAAUUGUCAGAAGGGAAGCGUUUAACACCAGUGUUGUUUCCUGAAAAUCAACCUCUGUUAGCUUUAUGCAUGUUUGUUUAGACCUAAUCAGCUAUCUUGCAUGUUCUAUUGUUUGCAGUGGUGCACUUUUCAGUUUACAGGUCAACAUCAGUUUUUUUUACCGUAAAAAAGUUAAAGAAAGGUAGCUCAUGGCUCCGGUCGUGAGUGUUAUAGUCUUUUUCCUAUGCGGUAGGAGAGACUGAGGUCUGCAGUGUAGGCUAUUUGGCUAGAUACUCAGGUGCUAUGUGAUACCAUUUCAUAAACAACUUGUUGAUUAUGUUUUGUCUAUUGCAUACUCGCUUGUACUAUCAUACCUACGCUUAGGAUGUUGAAGAUGUAGCACAUCAU